This 77-nucleotide transfer RNA is filed under the name Parcubacteria group bacterium. RNAcentral describes it as "tRNA-Thr". It matches the Rfam family "tRNA". From Rfam's summary of the family: Transfer RNA (tRNA) molecules are approximately 80 nucleotides in length. Their secondary structure includes four short double-helical elements and three loops (D, anti-codon, and T loops). Further hydrogen bonds mediate the characteristic L-shaped molecular structure. tRNAs have two regions of fundamental functional importance: the anti-codon, which is responsible for specific mRNA codon recognition, and the 3' end, to which the tRNAs corresponding amino acid is attached (by aminoacyl-tRNA synthetases). tRNAs cope with the degeneracy of the genetic code in two manners: having more than one tRNA (with a specific anti-codon) for a particular amino acid; and 'wobble' base-pairing, i.e. permitting non-standard base-pairing at the 3rd anti-codon position. The record is from RNAcentral.
GCCAAUGUAGCUCAGACGGUCAGAGCGCAUCCAUGGUAAGGAUGAGGUCCCCGGUUCAAUUCCGGGCAUUGGCUCCA